This 912-nucleotide ribosomal RNA is filed under the name uncultured bacterium. RNAcentral describes it as "bacterial SSU rRNA". It matches the Rfam family "Bacterial small subunit ribosomal RNA", at positions 8 to 916 of the family's 1533-position model. The record is from RNAcentral.
AGAGUUUGAUCCUGGCUCAGAUUGAACGCUGGCGGAAUGCUUUACACAUGCAAGUCGAGCGGCAGCGCGGGGCAACCUGGCGGCGAGCGGCGAACGGGUGAGUAAUGCAUCGGAACAUGUCCAUGUCGUGGGGGAUAGCCCGGCGAAAGCCGGAUUAAUACCGCAUACGCCCGAGAGGGGAAAGUGGGGGACCGCAAGGCCUCACGCGAUUGGGUUGGCCGAUGUCCGAUUAGCUAGUUGGCGGGGUAAGAGCCCACCAAGGCGAUGAUCGGUAGCUGGUCUGAGAGGAUGAUCAGCCACACUGGGACUGAGACACGGCCCAGACUCCUACGGGAGGCAGCAGUGGGGAAUUUUGGACAAUGGGGGCAACCCUGAUCCAGCCAUUCCGCGUGAGUGAAGAAGGCCUUCGGGUUGUAAAGCUCUUUUGUCCGGAGCGAAAAGGUUACGGUGAAUAUCCGUGACUACUGACGGUACCGGAAGAAUAAGCACCGGCUAACUACGUGCCAGCAGCCGCGGUAAUACGUAGGGUGCGAGCGUUAAUCGGAAUUACUGGGCGUAAAGCGUGCGCAGGCGGUUUUGUAAGCCAGAUGUGAAAUCCCCGGGCUCAACCUGGGAAUGGCAUUUGGGACUGCAAGGCUGGAGUGUGGCAGAGGAGACUGGAAUUCCUGGUGUAGCAGUGAAAUGCGUAGAUAUCAGGAGGAAUACCGAUGGCGAAGGCAGGUCUCUGGGCUGACACUGGCGCUCAUGCACGAAAGCGUGGGGAGCAAACAGGAUUAGAUACCCUGGUAGUCCACGCCCUAAACGAUGUCGACUGGUUGUUGGGGGUUUGACACUCUCAGUAACGAAGCUAACGCGUGAAGUCGACCGCCUGGGGAGUACGGCCGCAAGGUUAAAACUCAAAGGAAUUGACGG